Molecule: non-coding RNA, 1609 nt
Organism: Phoenix dactylifera (date palm)
Lineage: Eukaryota; Viridiplantae; Streptophyta; Magnoliopsida; Arecales; Arecaceae
Source: RefSeq, a predicted model, not a curated record
CUGCCAAAUUACUCAAAAUUCCAUAAUUCAAACACAGACUCCCUAGGAUACAUAUGAUAGUCUUGAACCCAUUCCAUACAUGAAGGCAAAUUCCAAUACUGAUUGAUCAUUGAAAUUGAUAUCCAUUUCUGGUAUAAAGAGGUACGAAUGUUAGUUGAUCUUUAGCAAUAUCAAUGACAUGUUUGAAUGACCAACUAGGUCACCCAUGUGGUGUCAUCCACACAAGUGAGAAUGUGUGGCGAGAUGAAGUGGAAGGCCAAGUAGAUGCAGGGAUUCUGCAUUUUCAAUUUUCAUGAUAUCAUCAGUCUCAAGGGUUGCCAUAUCGGUUGGUACCGUAUCAUACUGGUACGCAGUCUCAUACUGUAUCAACACUCGGUACAUCUCGCCGUCUUGUACCAUACCAAUGUACCGACAUUGUAAUAAGAUGGUACUGGUAUGGGUCCAAUACGAAGAUGACAAACCUUGAUCAGCACCUUUACAUAUGAAACCCUCAAUCCCAAAAAAGUCAGGUUGGGGAAGUACUGGUCUUCUUCAACCCCUCUCUACUUAGCAACUCUUGCCCUCCCGCACGCAUGGAAAACAUCUCAUUGAUAGGGUGAGGGCAGGGCCGGCUCGGGCCUUAGGCGACUGAGGCGGUCGCCUAAGGCCCCCGGCCUAGGAAAGGCCCCCUCCCCAUCGCACAGUUUUUUUUUUUGUUUAAUUAAUGCAUAGUUUUCAGCCUUUCCCAUCCGAAAGCUACCUUAUAGAGUCAUAGUUGGGCAGUGGGCGACGGCUACCGGGCUACGCCGCUACAGUCCAUCCCCUUCGGCUUCUCCCCGACGACAGACUGGCUAGGCCCUGGGCAACGGCUACGGCAAUUGACAAAUGACAAGCAAUGGCAUUUCCUCCCCCCUUCUCUCCUCCCUUCUCAGUUCUUUGCUGGGGCUUUCUUUUUUAUUGCUGAACCUUCUCCGGUUCUCGGUAGUCCUCUCCAGGCUCCACCGCAGCACCGCUCUAUCUCUCCUCACUGUCCUCGACUUCUCCGAGGCUCCAAGCCUCCUACCUCCGGGCUCCGGCCUCCGGCCUCCUCGGCUAGUCGGCUCUGCUCUAAAGUCCACUGUCCUCGGUCCUCCUCCGUUCGCCGUCCUCGGAUCUCCCCGUCGAGCCGACACUCCGCAGUCCGCACUCGGCCGAAGAGGGAUCAGGGAGGUGGCGUCGCCGGCGUGAUGGCGUCUCUUCUCCUUCCCGGCCCUCCGCCCUCUCCAGGUUUCUGGUGAUGGCUAAUGGGAUGGCUGCAGGUUAUAGUCUAAUCCAGGGGCCAGGAGGUGAGGUCUGUGGUGACCAUGAUAAAAGGAAGUGUUCUCUUCAACAAGGCCUUGGCUUGGGCUAUCUUCUAAUAUGAUCUGGUAUAUUGUAAAUUCUUUGGGGCAGGGCCUCUUCACAUACAUUGGAAAGCAUUUGUGGUGUAGAUGAAUGCACAUAGCUAGGUUGUUAAAGGGUGCUGAAAGAUUUAGAUUUCUAAACACUAAUAGCUAAGCAUAAAUGGACCCUAUUCUCAUAGCUUUUCACUACUUGUAAGCACUGAUUUCGGAACAUCUAAUAGCUAUUAUUUUUAAAUGAAUUUUUAAAA